This 492-nucleotide long non-coding RNA is filed under the name Sorghum bicolor (sorghum). RNAcentral's name for it is "long non-coding RNA (SBIC_LNC003881)". The record is from RNAcentral. Lineage: Eukaryota; Viridiplantae; Streptophyta; Magnoliopsida; Poales; Poaceae.
AUGGAGGAUCGAUAGCAAAUCUACGAGUCCGUCGAGCACGAGCACGGAGCACCUGUGGACUGUUAAGGUUGCUUUCGUCAGUGACGCUGUGCGGUGCAUGUCUGAUGUCUCUGUGAAGUCUGAAACCUGAAUGCAUGGGUCGGGUCGUGUCAGGGGCUCACCUCUUUAUCUUUAGUCCGAGCUGACGUGUAGGAGUACGAGCUGAUGUGUACGAUUGCACAGUGCUCGCCCAUGCGUUUGUAUAUGUCGUACGGACGCAGCAUCUUUCUUGGUUCCCGGCAAGUUUUGGAACGAUCCUGCUGGCUGCGGCAUGCACAUGACCCCUGCCUCAUUAUCAUUCGCGCUCACAUGCACGGGUUUUCUCCUACUAGGAGGACAUGUUGGUAGUUAGCGGUAGGCUUAACAACAAAGGUCUUGUUUAGUUGGCAAAAAUUUUUAUUUUUGGAUACUGUAGCAUUUCGUUUUUAUUUGACAAACAUUGUCUAAUCACGG